Molecule: non-coding RNA, 225 nt
Organism: Poecilia reticulata (guppy)
Lineage: Eukaryota; Metazoa; Chordata; Actinopteri; Cyprinodontiformes; Poeciliidae
Source: RefSeq, a predicted model, not a curated record
UGCUUUUUUUCUUUGACGGCUUAUUUCUUGGCAUUAGUCAGAUAAAGGAAUAAAAUGCAACUAUGGAACUUGGACACAUGCCCAGCGGUUAUUGUGAAAACCACCCAAUCAAACAGCAUCAGCAGUGACCAGAUUUUCCUUGGGUUUCAGGAUAUUCAGGGUGAAUGGAGGCCUAGUGAGAAUGAUUAAUGAUUGUAUGAUUAAAGGAGGAAUUGAUUUCCAUGA